ACAUCCAGAGAACUUGGCAGAGAUGCCUUGGUGCCUUCGGGACCUCUGAGACAGGUGCUGCAUGGCUGUCGUCAGCUCGUGUUGUGAAAUGUUGGGUUAAGUCCCGNAACGAGCGCAACCCCUAUCCUUUGUUGCCAGCGAUUCGGUCGGGAACUCAAAGGAGACUGCCGGUGAUAAACCGGAGGAAGUGGGGAUGACGUCAAGUCAUCAUGGCCCUUACGAGUAGGGCUACACACGUGCUACAAUGGCGCAUACAAAGAGAAGCGACCUCGCGAGAGCAAGCGGACCUCAUAAAGUGCGUCGUAGUCCGGAUCGGAGUCUGCAACUCGACUCCGUGAAGUCGGAAUCGCUAGUAAUCGUAGAUCAGAAUGCUACGGUGAAUACGUUCCCGGGCCUUGUACACACCGCCCGUCACACCAUGGGAGUGGGUUGCAAAAGAAGUAGAUAGCUUAACCUUCGGGAGGGCGUUUACCACUUUGUGAUUCAUGACUGGGGUGAAGUCGUAACAAGGUAGGCGUAGCGAG
This 524-nucleotide ribosomal RNA is filed under the name uncultured bacterium. RNAcentral's name for it is "bacterial SSU rRNA". It matches the Rfam family "Bacterial small subunit ribosomal RNA", at positions 984 to 1509 of the family's 1533-position model. The record is from RNAcentral.